Homo sapiens (human) is the source of this 311-nucleotide long non-coding RNA. Ensembl annotates it as HAO2 intronic transcript 1. Its record names the gene HAO2-IT1. The record is from Ensembl. NCBI's taxonomy places the organism in Eukaryota, Metazoa, Chordata, Mammalia, Primates, Hominidae.
UGAUGAAGUGCCAGAUAGGAUGGGAAUGGAAGAUAUCGUGGAAGCCAACUAUGAGUUUGCAAGCUUUGCCUUCUUGAGGAUGGAGGAUCGCUGUAGAGGAGGAAACAAAGCUGGAGGGUCACAUACCAGCUCUUCAAUCCUUGGCCUAGAAUUCACACCUGCUAUUCCCACUCCCAGGCCAUUGGCCAGAAGAACUAGUCACAGAGCCAUGCCUGUAUUUAAGCAACAGCGAAAUGUUAAGCAUGUGGGGAGCAGUAUAUGCCUCCGCCACCCUGGCUGAGAGUGUGUGUCAAUAAACCUUCUUGGAUAAA